Molecule: ribosomal RNA, 253 nt
Filed under: uncultured bacterium
Lineage: Bacteria
Description: partial 16S ribosomal RNA
Rfam family: Bacterial small subunit ribosomal RNA
Source: RNAcentral
GACAGAGGGGGCAAGCGUUGCUCGGAAUCACUGGGCGUAAAGGGCGCGUAGGCGGGAUGGCAAGUCGGUCGUGAAAUCCUUCGGCUCAACCGAAGAACGUCGGCCGAUACUGCCGUUCUUGAGGGAUGCAGAGGAGAUUGGAAUUCCCGGUGUAGCGGUGAAAUGUGUAGAGAUCGGGAGGAACACCGGUGACGAAGGCGGGUCUCUGGGCAUCUCCUGACGCUGAGGCGCGAAAGCGUGGGGAGCAAACGGG